Transfer RNA from Ovis aries (sheep), 69 nucleotides. It matches the Rfam family "tRNA". Rfam says of the family: Transfer RNA (tRNA) molecules are approximately 80 nucleotides in length. Their secondary structure includes four short double-helical elements and three loops (D, anti-codon, and T loops). Further hydrogen bonds mediate the characteristic L-shaped molecular structure. tRNAs have two regions of fundamental functional importance: the anti-codon, which is responsible for specific mRNA codon recognition, and the 3' end, to which the tRNAs corresponding amino acid is attached (by aminoacyl-tRNA synthetases). tRNAs cope with the degeneracy of the genetic code in two manners: having more than one tRNA (with a specific anti-codon) for a particular amino acid; and 'wobble' base-pairing, i.e. permitting non-standard base-pairing at the 3rd anti-codon position. NCBI's taxonomy places the organism in Eukaryota, Metazoa, Chordata, Mammalia, Artiodactyla, Bovidae. The record is from Rfam.
CCUGGUGGCUCAGAGGGGAAAGCACCUGCCUGCAAUGCAGGAGACCUGGGUUUGAUCCCUGGGUCAGGA